Molecule: ribosomal RNA, 484 nt
Filed under: uncultured bacterium
Lineage: Bacteria
Description: partial 16S ribosomal RNA
Rfam family: Bacterial small subunit ribosomal RNA
Source: RNAcentral
AGUGAACGCUGGCGGCAGGCCUAACACAUGCAAGUCGAGCGGCAGCGGGUCCUUCGGGCUGCCGGCGAGCGGCGGACGGGUGAGGAAUACAUCGGAACCUGCCCUGUCGUGGGGGAUAACCUAGGGAAACUUAGGCUAAUACCGCAUACGACCUACGGGUGAAAGCGGGGGAUCGCAAGACCUCGCGCGACAGGAUGAGCCGAUGUCCGAUUAGCUAGUUGGCGGGGUAAAGGCCUACCAAGGCGACGAUCGGUAGCUGGUCUGAGAGGAUGAUCAGCCACACUGGGACUGAGACACGGCCCAGACUCCUACGGGAGGCAGCAGUGGGGAAUAUUGGACAAUGGGCGCAAGCCUGAUCCAGCCAUGCCGCGUGAGUGAAGAAGGCCUUCGGGUUGUAAAGCCCUUUUGUCCGGGAAGAAAUCGUCUGGGCUAAUACCCCGGGCGGAUGACGGUACCGGAAGAAUAAGCACCGGCUAACUUCGUG